Astatotilapia calliptera (eastern happy) is the source of this 1253-nucleotide long non-coding RNA. Lineage: Eukaryota; Metazoa; Chordata; Actinopteri; Cichliformes; Cichlidae. The record is from Ensembl.
UCUGGGGGCCUCUGGAUGUCUGGAGUUUUGAUCUCCUCCACACCUGCUUCACGCCCUGGAGGACGGGGCUGUGGCCCCCCCACACCCUCUAGCAGAUUAUUACAUGAAGGAACCUUUUAAAAAACAAAAAACAAGCGCGUCCAUGCUCACAGGUGUACACACGGGUGAUCACACCCACAAACUACACCCUUUUUGGCUCCUACCUCAAAGCACACUGUGUUCUGUUGAUCUUAUGUGCUGCACAAUAAUGUUUAACAUUUAGUAUUUACUGUCAUAUUCCCAUAUAUCAUUGUGAUGUUGUUUAUUCUAUUACUCUUGUUCUCUUCUGCUUGUUUUCUUUUUUCUUUCUCAGCAGGUGAUCCAGGUGAUUGAUAUAUGCAUUUUUUUUUUCUCUGCCUGUUCUGUUGGUUUUUGUCUUUUGCCCUUCUCCCCCGUCCCUCUUCUCAGCUGUUUCUCUUUCCCUCUUUCUUUCUCCCCUUCUUUCCCCCAGUCAAGUCUGUCCCGUAUUCAGUAAGUGAAAAUAAAAUAAACAAUAAAAGGUGAAUCAAAUGGACCAUUAUGGCAAGGCUGGGAUGGUCAAUUUGGUAAAGUAAAUCCGUUGGGCAUCUUUCUUUGCCUUUAGACAACAAUUCUGAUGGCAAAAGAGCCAAACGGGACAGGCAAAAAAAAAAAAAAAAAAAAAAAAAAAAAAAAAAAAAAGGAAUUAGGGCAGGAUCCCCUGGAGUCUUGCUGCUGGUGGAGGUGAAGAAAAAAUGGCAGCUCAGAUGAAGAAGAUGCAGAGGAGAUGGGUUACAUGAAAGAAUGCUGCAAGGGGAAUGAAAAAUGAGCUUUGCGAUUUAAAGUAUGCAGAGUUGAGGCUGAUUGGGUUCAAGAAGGUGGGCAGAAAUGACUGGACUUAGCAUUUAUGUAGGCAUUGAGUUGUUUAGUGUUGGAAAGUGGAAGUGAUGUGUUAUGGGCCCCAGGAAUGGUGCCACAAUAACAAAGAAGAAAUCCCUGCAAAUACAGGUAAAGUUCAGGAGCAAUGAAGACAGUGCACUCGGUUUGCCUCUCAGAUUGCAUCUCUUAUUCAAGUUUCAAAAAACAUGAACAGCAUUAACAAUAUCCAUGUGUGCAUGACUCUUCCAGUCACAGUGUCCAUAUCUGUCCAUUUUUCCAAAGUCACAAGUAGAAAAAUGAAUGGAUUCACACUCUACACUUUCCACUAUUUUACAUGUGCUUCAUGUGAUCGCUCAGUCAAAGCAAAACAAAAGUAC